AACUGGUUACUUAAGCGGUCUAAAGGCUUAGCGGACCCAAGAGGUCCCGGGUUCGAUUCCCGCUUAAGCUA
This 71-nucleotide transfer RNA is filed under the name Zingiber officinale. RNAcentral describes it as "tRNA-Ser". The record is from RNAcentral. Lineage: Eukaryota; Viridiplantae; Streptophyta; Magnoliopsida; Zingiberales; Zingiberaceae.